GAUUAUGGCUCAGGAUGAACGCUAGCGGCAGGCUUAACACAUGCAAGUCGAGGGGCAGCGGGAUGUAGCAAUACAUUGCCGGCGACCGGCGGAUGGGUGCGUAACGCGUAUGCAACCUACCUUAUACAGGGGAAUAACCUUUCGAAAGGGAGACUAACACCCCAUGGUAUUGAUUUAAGGCAUCUUAGAUUAAUUAAAUAUUUAUAGGUAUAAGAUGGGCAUGCGUAUGAUUAGCUAGUUGGUAAGGUAACGGCUUACCAAGGCGACGAUCAUUAGGGGUUCUGAGAGGAAGGUCCCCCCACACUGGUACUGAGACACGGACCAGACUCCUACGGGAGGCAGCAGUGAGGAAUAUUGGUCAAUGGGCGCAAGCCUGAACCAGCCAUGCCGCGUGCAGGAAAGACGGCCUUAUGGGUUGUAAACUGCUUUUACAUAAGACUAACCGUAUAUUUGCGAAUAUACCUGAAUGUAUUAUGAGAAUAAGGAUCGGCUAACUCCGUGCCAGCCGCAGC
RNAcentral lists this ribosomal RNA (512 nucleotides) under uncultured bacterium. RNAcentral's name for it is "bacterial SSU rRNA". It matches the Rfam family "Bacterial small subunit ribosomal RNA", at positions 15 to 518 of the family's 1533-position model. The record is from RNAcentral.